Long non-coding RNA from Ixodes scapularis (black-legged tick), 414 nucleotides. RefSeq lists it as uncharacterized. The transcript has 3 exons. The record is from RefSeq and is a predicted model, not a curated record. Lineage: Eukaryota; Metazoa; Arthropoda; Arachnida; Ixodida; Ixodidae.
UUUGCACGUUUUGCCGGUCGCGUUGUCCGUGUGUGUUUCAAAUCUCCGUCAUAAAGUAAAUUUACCGAUUAUUCGUGAUGCGUGGAGUUCACCUUAGUUUCAAAUGUGUCUGAAAAAAGGAAGCUACUGUGAGCCGUGCAACUACGUCGAAUCUGCUCAACAGCCGAGAUCGUGGCACGGUCGUUUCAAACCCUUGCCAAGCAGAAGUUGGCAUUCACUUUUACCAUCCCGAUGUGAGUGUCCUGGGACGACACAGGAUGACAGUCUCCUCUGCUGAAGUCCAGGCUUCAUGGGAGACUGCCAAGGCUGUUUAUGUGGCAGCAGCACCAGCUCCUGUGAUGCAGAGCAUGUGCAACACAGAUGCAGCCUUCGGUGGUGCAGCUGCAAUACCUGCAACCUUAGAUGGAGCAGCUG